GGCAUCCAGUACAAGGCCACGCACUACCUUCACGGAGUGCCAGGCACUUGUAGGGCACGACGGUGCCAUGGAAGUACCUUCACUUCCGUUUCCUCCAACCGAAUGGAUCAGCCUCAGCUUCACGACGUGGGCAAUGGACAUGAUCCUGGCCUUCGCCUGUGGACUGGGCCUCUUCCACCUGUGGAUACAUUUCUUCCCACUCACCUCACCCUCACCUGCAGAGGGCGCCUCCACCACCACCAAAAGGGUGGUGAAGAGGGACCACAACAAGGCCAGGAAGAAAAUCAGGACCUUGAAAGGUAGGCUCCUUCCUUCCCCUGGACAGGUGACUUCAUCUACCCUGUCCCCAAGGGAUGACACCAAAUGAGUUGCAGACCAUGCGGCUGUGGCUGCAUGGAAGGAAUCAGAAGUGAAGACAUUGCCAAGGUGCUGUGCUCAGAAUAAAGCCAGGGACGACCAUGGUUGGCUGCAGUCAGGAGGGUGGUGUGGGUAGGACCAGAAACAUGCUGCAUGCGUCUGCAGGCAAAUGGGUUAUUUCACUUCUCUAAGACACUUUCCUCUUCCACUACACUGGACCUCCCUCCUCUCCACAGGGACAUUAUGAAGUCCAUGGAGCUCGGCGGAAAUGGAAGCCUCCGGUCUAUGGUCAGGUCCUAUCCCACAUGUGCCCAGCACUUAGUGCUUUGGGGCCUGUGGCCUUGUUCAGCAAAGCUUGAGCUCCUGUUUAGUUGAUCAUUUCCACAGAAGGGACAUUGCAUUCAGGCUCCCGUAGGCUCUCAGUUCUCUCCUUUACCCACAAUCACCCCAUCUGUAUUUCUAGCUUACAGAGGCUACAGCAGGAAGAGAGGGAAGGAUGACAGGGGCCUGCUUUCGCUCCUGCAGAGGUGAGAAGUCUCCAGUGCUUCCUGGCUCCUCACUCCCACGCCUGUGAGGAGAUCACUCGGGACAAAGGGCAAGGGCUGACCAUGGGACCAGGGGCCCUCUGGGAAGGUGGGGUGCGUGCACAGCGCUACUGUUUAAUUCGAGUGUGGAGCUGUGGCUGCAGGUGGCCUUUCCUGCUCAGCCUGUCCACCUCCUGCUGCCGAAUGCUCCAAGCUGCAACCUUAUGUCCUGUCUCCUGCAGCCUGCUUACUGACACCAUCAGCUUUUGCCAGCUCUUAAGAAGAGAUGCCUCGGCUCAAGGAUCCAGACCAGAAGCUGCCGAAGACCACCAGCCACCUAGGCAUUCCACAGAGCAGUCUAUGGCCAACUUGCCUCUAGUGGCCUCCUUCCCUCUGGUCAAGGAACACUUGCUGCACAAAGAUUCAACUUUGUCACCUACCCUGCUAAAUUCCCUUACUUGUAAGGAAUCACAAACACUUACAUGUGAUUCUACCCCACCAGUGACGACAAUGCCAAAAAUGCAUCCUUUACCACGACCAUGUGGCCCAACCUCCCCAUCCUGUCCUCAAGAUCCAGUGUUCUGCUCUCCAUCCGAGACAGACCAAAGCAUGACUCCUCCUCCUUCUCCUCCUCUUCCUCCUCCUCCUUUUCCUCUGAUCUCUCUUCCUCCUCCUCCUCCUCCUCUAUCCCUUCCUCCCUCUCUUCCUCCUCCUCUUUCCCUUCCUCCCUCUCUUCCUCCUCCUCCUCUUUCCCUUCCUCCCUCUCCUCCUCCUCCUCCUCUUCCUCCUCCUCCCCUUCCUCUUUUUCCUCCUCUUUCUCUUCCUCCUCCACCUCCUCCUCUUCCUCUUCCUCUUCCUUCUCCUCCUCCUCCUCCUCCUCCUCGAUGUGAGUGGAAAACACAACUAGUGACCUCACGAAGCACAUCUCCUCCAGCUUUGCCUUGUCCCAUGGCAAGCCCCCCAGGCCUUGAGCACUCAAACAUGUCUCCUUCAAGCUCUUCCUGGUACAAGGCGGCUGCCAGGACCUGGUGUCAUUCUAAGUGGUCACAGGAUGAGACCCUGCAAGAGGAUCUCCAUUUCAGCUUCCAAGAGGCCUCAUUGUGGACAGACCCUGGAUACAGGCAGCUAGAGGCUGGAGAACCCCCGUUCAUCAAGCCUGAUGUGCAGAAGAUACUGGAGCUGCAGAUUAGCAAGAGGGUAGAACUGAAGCUCUGGAAAGAGCAAGGAAGGGAGAGCUUUGACCACGCCUUGAGCUGUGUGGGUGAUAUGCUGCAGUCCUGGAGCAG
Molecule: long non-coding RNA, 2167 nt
Organism: Rattus norvegicus (Norway rat)
Lineage: Eukaryota; Metazoa; Chordata; Mammalia; Rodentia; Muridae
Source: Ensembl